This is a long non-coding RNA of Sinocyclocheilus grahami, 306 nucleotides long. RefSeq lists it as uncharacterized. The transcript is spliced from 3 exons. Lineage: Eukaryota; Metazoa; Chordata; Actinopteri; Cypriniformes; Cyprinidae. The record is from RefSeq and is a predicted model, not a curated record.
GUGAGCAUGCGUGUCUUGUUUUGCACAGGACAGUUGCUGUGAGUUCACCUGGUCUCACAUAACAGUCACACAGAGGCAGGGGCAGACUGCGGCCUGGAAGAUGUAAACUCAUGGGUGAUCCGACAGCCCUGCACCGGGCAGCUGUUGUGGGAAACCGUGACGCCAUCUGUGCCCUCAUCCGUGGAGGCUGUGCACUUGAUUUACAAGACAAGGAAGGAAACACUGCUUUGCAUGAGGUAUCAUGGCAUGGAUUCAGUUCAUGUGUAAAGCUACUGGUCAAAGCUGGGGCCAAUGUCCAAGUGAAGA